RNAcentral lists this transfer RNA (67 nucleotides) under Microtendipes umbrosus. RNAcentral's name for it is "tRNA-Thr". It matches the Rfam family "tRNA". Rfam says of the family: Transfer RNA (tRNA) molecules are approximately 80 nucleotides in length. Their secondary structure includes four short double-helical elements and three loops (D, anti-codon, and T loops). Further hydrogen bonds mediate the characteristic L-shaped molecular structure. tRNAs have two regions of fundamental functional importance: the anti-codon, which is responsible for specific mRNA codon recognition, and the 3' end, to which the tRNAs corresponding amino acid is attached (by aminoacyl-tRNA synthetases). tRNAs cope with the degeneracy of the genetic code in two manners: having more than one tRNA (with a specific anti-codon) for a particular amino acid; and 'wobble' base-pairing, i.e. permitting non-standard base-pairing at the 3rd anti-codon position. Lineage: Eukaryota; Metazoa; Arthropoda; Insecta; Diptera; Chironomidae. The record is from RNAcentral.
AUUUUUAUAGUUUAACAAAAACAUUGGUCUUGUAAAUCAAAAAUAAGAAAAAUUUUCUUUAAAAAUA